CCUACGGGUGGCAGCAGUGGGGAAUAUUGCACAAUGGGGGAAACCCUGAUGCAGCAACGCCGCGUGAAGGAAGACGGUUUUCGGAUUGUAAACUACUGUCCUUCGUGAAGAAGGAUGACGGUAGCUAAACAUCAAGCAACGGCGAACUACGGGCCAGCAGCCCCGGUAAUACGGAGGGCGCAAGCGUUGGGCGGAAUGACUGGGCGUAAAGGGAUCGCAGGCGGGAGGCCGAGUCAGCUGUGAAAACUACGGGCUUAACUUGUGGACUGCAGUUGAUACUGGUCUGCUUGAGUGAAGUAGAGGUUGGUAGAAUUCCGAGUGUAGCGGUGAAAUGCGUAGAGAUGUGGAGGAAUACCGGUGGCGAAGGCGGCCCCCUGGGCAUAAACUGACGCUGAGGUUCGAAAGUGUGGGGAGCAAACAGGAUUAGAUACCCCAGUAGUC
Molecule: ribosomal RNA, 441 nt
Filed under: uncultured bacterium
Lineage: Bacteria
Description: partial 16S ribosomal RNA
Rfam family: Bacterial small subunit ribosomal RNA
Source: RNAcentral